Molecule: long non-coding RNA, 3297 nt
Organism: Tachysurus fulvidraco (yellow catfish)
Lineage: Eukaryota; Metazoa; Chordata; Actinopteri; Siluriformes; Bagridae
Exons: 3
Source: RefSeq, a predicted model, not a curated record
AAAAAGAGGAAAUGGAAAAGGAAAUGGUUUUCACAUCAUACACCAACCUAAUGUGGAUGUACAAAUAUACAAAAGAUUUAUUUAAUAAACAAUACAUGGUACACAAUGCAGAUGCACAGUCCAAUACUAGUUCAGAUCCACUUUGGCUUAUGAAUGAGAUGCUAGAGGAAUAUUCUAAAAGAUUAGAAUCUACAAAUGGCCCAGUAGUAUAUAAAAAUGGAGAAAUUUUAGAAUAUAAUUCUGACAUGGAGCUGGUGAUUCCAAAGGAAACACCUUGCAUAAUAUUCAUUAUUACGCAUGAUAAAAAAUAUAUUCUUAAUGGACUCGGCUGUUACUAUGGUUGUGACCAUGUCUUGACUGCCUUACAUGUAGUUAAUUAUCUACAUUUAGGGAUUCUCAUUGCUUUUCCUACUAAAGACUUUAAACUGAUCUACAAGGCUGAGUUUACUAAAUUUUGUAACAGUGACAAAGCUCGAGAUCUGGCUUUUGUUAAAUUACUAGUCCCCUUGGAGAUGGUUUACAAAAUCAGAGCGUUGAAAUGGAUAAAAAUGACAGUAUAUACUUUUAUACCCGGGACCCUAAUUGUAAUUUUCAGAAGCAGGAGGGUGUAAUCUUAUACCAAUAUCCAAGCAAGUUUUUAAUGUCUGUAGCAGGUAAACCUGGAGACAGUGGCUCACCUGUUUUCAACCCUAAACAUGAACUGAUUGGCAUAUAUCAAGGUGUCUAUAAGGACUACGGCGUCACUUGUAAUACUUUUCCGCGCUUAACACCCGGUGUCCAAACGAAUGAUCGUAGUCUUAUAGAGUUACUCAAAGAUUUAAUGUUCCAUUUGUUACAUAAAGUUGGUUCCAAGCUUUUUUGGUAAACUGCUGAGGAACUCCUGUAACAACUGACCGGUGAUUUCUCAAAUGUCUAAAAAAAUAUCAAAAUAAAUAAAUAAAUAAUAAAAAGCAAUCUUUAAAAAUUUGCUCCUGCAUGACAGCAAAGAAAAUCUUAAUUUUUCUUCUUUUCUAUCAAGACGUUUGUUUUUCCCUCUCUGUUUUUCGUUUUUUACUUUCUGUCGGACUAAAAAAGCAAAGUCUUUGAAAGCUCGCCUCCAAGCGCCUACAGCAAACAUUUACUACACUUGUGCCAACACCUGAGAGAUCGACUCACAAAGAAAGUGGAAAUGGUCACUAGAGGUCUUCUCCGGUCUAAAAAAAUGUACCCGACCCGAAAUGACCCGAAUCACUUUUUACCAGAACCCGCCGAGCAUUUUUUUUUUAAAAGAAAGACCCGACCCGAGACAAACCCGAAAAAAAUAGACCCGAGUCCAACUCGACCCGAUGGCAAUUUUUUUACCUGACUGGACCCGAAUGUUACUUUAGUUCAACCGCUACAGCGUGGAUUCAAAAUUGAUCGACAGGUCUGUUUCAACGAAAAUUAGCUUACCGCCAGCCACACGAUGUCACAAGCGAUCUUGGCAAAUAGAGGAGAGGGUUGGAAAAGGACUCGAGUUGAUGCACACACGCGUGAUACAGUAGUUCGGGUCUUCUCGGGUCCAUUCGGUAAAAACCCGAUGCCGCUAUUAUUAUGUAUGCCCGACCCGUGUCUGAGGCACACGUGAAUGACGUUUGUCUUUCCCUCUCUGUGUUUCGUUUUUACUUUCUGUCGGACUAAAAAAGGAAAGUCUUUGAAAGCUCGCCUCCAAGGCCUACAGCAAACAUUUACUACACUUGUGCCAACAACUGAGAGAUCGAUUCACAAAGAAAGUGGAAAUGGUCACUAGAGGGCUUCUCGGGUCUAAAAAAAUGUACCCGACCAGAAAUGACCCGAAUCACUUUUUACCAGAACCCGACGUGCAUUUUUUUUUAAGGAAAGACCCGACCCGAGACAAACCCGAAAAAAUUAGACCCGAGUCCGACUCGACCCGUUGGUGGCUUUUUUUAACCUGACUGGACCCGAAUGUUACCUUAGUUCAACCGCUACAGCAUGGAUUCAAAAUUGAUUGACAGGUCUGUUUCAUUGAUUGACAGGUCUGUUAGCUUACCGCCAGCCACACAAUGUCACAAGCGAUCUUGGUAAACAGAGGAGAGGUUGGAAAAGGACUCGAGUUGAUGCACACACGCGAGAAACAGUAGUUCGGGUCUUUUCGGGUCCAUUGGGUAAAAACCCGAUGCCGCUAUUAUUAUACCCGACCCGUGUCUGAGGCACACGUGAGACUUUUAGACCCGAACCCGCUCGGGUCUCGGGUUGGACCUCGGAUUUUCGGAUCUACGUGGACCCAUGAGGACCUCAAUUGGACACUCAGCCAAACCCCACACCUGGCACAGAUUGUCCAGUCUUUAUAUUUACAUUUAAGUCUCUAUCAUUAGAUACAUUAACUCUGGUUCCCAAGGUCUCUUUUUACAUCUGCAGCAACAACAGCAGGGAAUCCACACUGAAAAGAGCAGCAAACUACCAAAAAUAAAACCCCAUCUAAAGCCUGCUGGUAUGAGCAGCUCUCUAAAAUCUUAAAAUAUUUAUGUCUGGACAAGACUGCAUGGUUUACAGAUGGCUCUCACCGGCUCACAUGUCAUAUGGAGAAAUCUCUGGCUUGGCUCACUAAUACAGAAAGGGACAGAACACCUUGUUAGAAAAAAGGUCUUUUAUAAAUAUUAAAUAAAUAACAAUUGCACAUGUUGCAUUUAAAAAAAAGUUAAAUCCUCUAGCAAAAAAAUAAACUAGCAAAAAUAUUUUAAAAAAUAUAUAUUUUAAUAUUAUAUAUUUAUAAAAAAUAUAUAAAUUCAAAAUAUAUUCAUUAUUAUUAUUAUUAUUAUUAUUAUUAUUAUUAUUAUUAUUAUUAUUAUUAUUAUUAUUAUUAUGGAAGGCAGGAAGGUAGGUCAAUGUGUAUGAUCCUCUGGAAACCAUUUCCUUUUCCAAUUUACCUGACGGCUGCCCAGAGUGAGGUGCUCAAAUUUAAUAAAGAUUUUUCAGAAAAAAAACGCCUCACUCUUACUUUACUGGACAAAAGACACCUGGAUGGAGAAUUGCGUCAUCAAUGCAAUCAUCGCUUCAGCAACUUUAGUCCAUUACUCUUUUCCAUCUGUGGACUGUAAUUAUAUCUAAUUGCAUUAUUUGGUGUCACCUACAAGAGGAUGGGUUCCUUUUUGAGUCUGGUUCCUCUCAAGGUUUCUUCCUUAUGUCAUCUCAGGAAGUUUUUCCUUGCCACCGUCGCCACAGGCUUGCUCACUAAGGACUUCAAUCUAUAUCCAGUAUUCUGUAACAAGCAUUUAUUGAAAGGAAACGAAUUGUAUGAAUAAAUUUGAUCUGAAUUGA